RNAcentral lists this long non-coding RNA (240 nucleotides) under Brassica napus (rape). Its description in RNAcentral is "long non-coding RNA (BNAP_LNC000600)". Lineage: Eukaryota; Viridiplantae; Streptophyta; Magnoliopsida; Brassicales; Brassicaceae. The record is from RNAcentral.
AGACUUUUCAAAACUAGAGCUAGAGGUUCUCUACUUAUCCCAGAAAAUCGAUUCACUUAAGCACAAAGAGUCUAUCCUUUUUAUUUUUCAUUUCUCCCAAAUCAUGAUCACAACACUCACCCUCCCACCUAUAGCUAGACAAAAGAGUGUCCAAUCUAGCAAAAAUGAAGAUCAAGCAUUGUCGUUCCCGAUACUCUCAACAUUAUGCGCAUGUAAGACUUUCCGAAGAAGGCCUCACUC